AAGUCAUGUAACAAAAAUCAGAUAAUGGAUAAAGCCAACUAUAAAAAUUAUUCUAAGCUCGAAUUCUUGAACCAUGAAACAGAGAUUCUGGGUUCGUUCCCCAACAGAGUCGCCAGAGCUGUCACACCUCCUUUUUUACCUACACCCCCGAGAAGAGAGUAUAAGGGGAGUUUUUCCAAUUAAAGGACAAUCGAAAUGGGAUUUAUUUAUCAAAAGAAUCAGAGUCACCACUUGGGAUAUUUAUGGUGUCCCAAGUCACCGGUUCAAACCCCGAAUCGAGGAAAAGGUUGACUCUGUUUAACAGUCCGCGAACCAGAAAUUCGGGUAAGGAAUUCUGUUAAUCCGGGAGAAGGUGUUAGGCAUUCCCGAGUUCCGUGGUUCUAGCACGGUCGCUUAACUGUUAUAAUUGGCCUAUUUACUUGAUUUUAAUACAUGUUUAUCCUAUGGUGCAAUUUUAGCCUUAACUGCUUUAUUUGAUUUUUAAAGAAGAUUGAACGUCGUUUAAAACGUGCCUUUGGAUUGUGCCACAUGAAAUGCACCCGCAAUCCGGAACACAUCUUAUUCAACGUUUAGGAUUUGGAUUUGGGUCAUAUGAAAUGCACACCCAAGUCCCUUUAAUCUAAUUUGAUGUAGUUCAGCCAACGAGUAGCAACCCGAUCUCUAUACUGUGACAAAAUCAUGUUCAGCUAUAACCAUUUUGAGUAAACACAAGCAGAUAAUCGAGAGAGCAAAUUCAAAAUCACGGAGAACAAUUACAGAAAUAACAGGAUCAUAUCACCAAACAAAUAAUUAACAUUAAGCUUGAAUAAAACAAAUAGAGGAUGAAAGAGUUGAACCUCAAUAUAGCCGAAAAAUUGAUUGUUUCACUGCUUUGAACUCCAAAAUAUAACGAACUGCGGACGGAAACUCGAAUCGGCACCAGGAACUCGAACUCGAAUGCCUCAAUAAACUCACUUCAGUCGAACUCAAAUCCAAUUCCAGCACCUCAAGAGAAAUCCAUUUUUUUAAAACCAAAAUCCGAAAUAAAAAAUGAACUUUCUUUUGGUUUGUAUUUUUGCUGGACUAAAAAAGAAGACUAAAGCCAAUACUUAAGUUAAUAAAUAAUAAAGUGGUUUCCUAAAGAAGAGACACAAAAGAGAUUUUCAAUUUUCCAUUUUCCUUCGUCUUUUUCUGUUUGCCGUGUUCUCAUGUUUCCGUUUUUCUUUUCUUUUUUUUUUCUUUUUUUGUUUUCGUCUGUUUCCUAUUGUAAGACCAAGAUUCAAUUGUAUUUCCCUUCAACUUUAUGUCUUCCUCUGUUUGUGAUCGAUCCCCGUUCUUCCUCCACUGGUUUUUGUUUCGCCGUAUUCCCCUACUUUUCCUUUAUAUCUCUCAAAAAUAUUUUUGGUUCAGAGCUGCUGCACCAACGAGUUAAUGGUGGAAAGGGCGUGGUAAGAUGAGGUGGGGCGGCUGCUUCUUGUUUUUUUGUGGUGAGGGUGGAGUGAUCUUGUGAAGAUGAAGAAGAGAAAAUCCGAUUAGGUUGGAGGGGGGUUUGAAGAAGAAGACGGUGCAGGGGGUAGCGGGGAUGGUUGGUGUGCAGCCUUUUCAGCUGAUGCUUUCAGCUUUUGUUCCACUUUUUUCCGUUCC
This 1623-nucleotide long non-coding RNA is filed under the name Nicotiana tabacum (common tobacco). RNAcentral's name for it is "long non-coding RNA (NTAB_LNC002866)". The record is from RNAcentral. Lineage: Eukaryota; Viridiplantae; Streptophyta; Magnoliopsida; Solanales; Solanaceae.